Molecule: non-coding RNA, 209 nt
Organism: Oryza meridionalis
Lineage: Eukaryota; Viridiplantae; Streptophyta; Magnoliopsida; Poales; Poaceae
Source: Rfam
AAAAAAGCAAACCCUAAAUUUCCGCGUGCAACGUUUGACUGUCCGUCUUAUAUAAAAUUUUUUUAUAAUUAGUAUUUUCAUUNAUUAGUAUUUUUAUUGUUAUUACAUGAUAAAACAUGAAUAUGACUACUUUUUAUUAUUCUUUAUAUACUUUUUAAAUAAGACGGAUGGUUAAAUAUUGGACACGGAUAUCCACUACUACACUUAUU